RNAcentral lists this ribosomal RNA (478 nucleotides) under uncultured bacterium. Its description in RNAcentral is "partial 16S ribosomal RNA". It matches the Rfam family "Bacterial small subunit ribosomal RNA", at positions 28 to 507 of the family's 1533-position model. The record is from RNAcentral.
GAUGAACGCUGGCGGCGUGCUUAACACAUGCAAGUCGAACGGGAAACCUUUUAUUGAAGCUUCGGCAGAUUUAGCUGGUUUCUAGUGGCGGACGGGUGAGUAACGCGUGGGUAACCUGCCUUAUUCAGGGGGAUAACAGUCAGAAAUGGCUGCUAAUACCGCAUAAGCGCACAGAGCUGCAUGGCUCAGUGUGAAAAACUCCGGUGGUAUAAGAUGGACCCGCGUUGGAUUAGCUGGUUGGUGGGGUAACGGCCCACCAAGGCGACGAUCCAUAGCCGGCCGGAGAGGGUGAACGGCCACAUUGGGACUGAGACACGGCCCAGACUCCUACGGGAGGCAGCAGUGGGGAAUAUUGCACAAUGGGGGAAACCCUGAUGCAGCGACGCCGCGUGAAGGAAGAAGUAUCUCGGUAUGUAAACUUCUAUCAGCAGGGAAGAUAAUGACGGUACCUGACUAAGAAGCCCCGGCUAACUACGUG